RNAcentral lists this ribosomal RNA (1383 nucleotides) under uncultured bacterium. RNAcentral describes it as "bacterial SSU rRNA". It matches the Rfam family "Bacterial small subunit ribosomal RNA", at positions 18 to 1395 of the family's 1533-position model. The record is from RNAcentral.
CCUGGCUCACGAUGAACGCUAGCUACAGGCUUAACACAUGCAAGUCGAGGGGCAUCAGGAAGAAAGCUUGCUUUCUUUGCUGGCGACCGGCGCACGGGUGAGUAACACGUAUCCAACCUGCCCUUUACUCGGGGAUAGCCUUUCGAAAGAAAGAUUAAUACCCGAUAGUAUAAUGAUUCCGCAUGGUUUCAUUAUUAAAGGAUUCCGGUAAAGGAUGGGGAUGCGUUCCAUUAGGUUGUUGGUGAGGUAACGGCUCACCAAGCCUUCGAUGGAUAGGGGUUCUGAGAGGAAGGUCCCCCACAUUGGAACUGAGACACGGUCCAAACUCCUACGGGAGGCAGCAGUGAGGAAUAUUGGUCAAUGGGCGCGAGCCUGAACCAGCCAAGUAGCGUGAAGGAUGACUGCCCUAUGGGUUGUAAACUUCUUUUAUAUUAGAAUAAAGUGCAGUAUGUAUACUGUUUUGUAUGUAUAAUAUGAAUAAGGAUCGGCUAACUCCGUGCCAGCAGCCGCGGUAAUACGGAGGAUCCGAGCGUUAUCCGGAUUUAUUGGGUUUAAAGGGAGCGUAGGUGGACUGGUAAGUCAGUUGUGAAAGUUUGCGGCUCAACCGUAAAAUUGCAGUUGAUACUGUCAGUCUUGAGUACAGUAGAGGUGGGCGGAAUUCGUGGUGUAGCGGUGAAAUGCUUAGAUAUCACGAAGAACUCCGAUUGCGAAGGCAGCUCACUGGACUGCAACUGACACUGAUGCUCGAAAGUGUGGGUAUCAAACAGGAUUAGAUACCCUGGUAGUCCACACAGUAAACGAUGAAUACUCGCUGUUUGCGAUAUACAGUAAGCGGCCAAGCGAAAGCAUUAAGUAUUCCACCUGGGGAGUACGCCGGCAACGGUGAAACUCAAAGGAAUUGACGGGGGCCCGCACAAGCGGAGGAACAUGUGGUUUAAUUCGAUGAUACGCGAGGAACCUUACCCGGGCUUAAAUUGCAGUGGAAUGAUGUGGAAACAUGUCAGUGAGCAAUCACCGCUGUGAAGGUGCUGCAUGGUUGUCGUCAGCUCGUGCCGUGAGGUGUCGGCUUAAGUGCCAUAACGAGCGCAACCCUUAUCUUUAGUUACUAACAGGUCAUGCUGAGGACUCUAGAGAGACUGCCGUCGUAAGAUGUGAGGAAGGUGGGGAUGACGUCAAAUCAGCACGGCCCUUACGUCCGGGGCUACACACGUGUUACAAUGGGGGGUACAGAAGGCAGCUACCUGGUGACAGGAUGCUAAUCCCAAAAGCCUCUCUCAGUUCGGAUCGAAGUCUGCAACCCGACUUCGUGAAGCUGGAUUCGCUAGUAAUCGCGCAUCAGCCACGGCGCGGUGAAUACGUUCCCGGGCCUUGUACACACCGCCC